Molecule: transfer RNA, 73 nt
Filed under: Canis lupus familiaris (dog)
Lineage: Eukaryota; Metazoa; Chordata; Mammalia; Carnivora; Canidae
Rfam family: tRNA
About the family: Transfer RNA (tRNA) molecules are approximately 80 nucleotides in length.
Source: Rfam by way of RNAcentral
ACCUGGCUAGUUCAAUCAGUGGAGCAUGUGACUCUUGAUCUUGAGAUUGUGAGUUUGAGCCCCACGUUGGGUA